RNAcentral lists this ribosomal RNA (2901 nucleotides) under Escherichia coli. RNAcentral describes it as "23S ribosomal RNA". It matches the Rfam family "Bacterial large subunit ribosomal RNA". The record is from RNAcentral. Lineage: Bacteria; Pseudomonadati; Pseudomonadota; Gammaproteobacteria; Enterobacterales; Enterobacteriaceae.
UUAAGUGACUAAGCGUACACGGUGGAUGCCCUGGCAGUCAGAGGCGAUGAAGGACGUGCUAAUCUGCGAUAAGCGUCGGUAAGGUGAUAUGAACCGUUAUAACCGGCGAUUUCCGAAUGGGGAAACCCAGUGUGUUUCGACACACUAUCAUUAACUGAAUCCAUAGGUUAAUGAGGCGAACCGGGGGAACUGAAACAUCUAAGUACCCCGAGGAAAAGAAAUCAACCGAGAUUCCCCCAGUAGCGGCGAGCGAACGGGGAGCAGCCCAGAGCCUGAAUCAGUGUGUGUGUUAGUGGAAGCGUCUGGAAAGGCGCGCGAUACAGGGUGACAGCCCCGUACACAAAAAUGCACAUACUGUGAGCUCGAUGAGUAGGGCGGGACACGUGGUAUCCUGUCUGAAUAUGGGGGGACCAUCCUCCAAGGCUAAAUACUCCUGACUGACCGAUAGUGAACCAGUACCGUGAGGGAAAGGCGAAAAGAACCCCGGCGAGGGGAGUGAAAAAGAACCUGAAACCGUGUACGUACAAGCAGUGGGAGCACGCUUAGGCGUGUGACUGCGUACCUUUUGUAUAAUGGGUCAGCGACUUAUAUUCUGUAGCAAGGUUAACCGAAUAGGGGAGCCGAAGGGAAACCGAGUCUUAACUGGGCGUUAAGUUGCAGGGUAUAGACCCGAAACCCGGUGAUCUAGCCAUGGGCAGGUUGAAGGUUGGGUAACACUAACUGGAGGACCGAACCGACUAAUGUUGAAAAAUUAGCGGAUGACUUGUGGCUGGGGGUGAAAGGCCAAUCAAACCGGGAGAUAGCUGGUUCUCCCCGAAAGCUAUUUAGGUAGCGCCUCGUGAAUUCAUCUCCGGGGGUAGAGCACUGUUUCGGCAAGGGGGUCAUCCCGACUUACCAACCCGAUGCAAACUGCGAAUACCGGAGAAUGUUAUCACGGGAGACACACGGCGGGUGCUAACGUCCGUCGUGAAGAGGGAAACAACCCAGACCGCCAGCUAAGGUCCCAAAGUCAUGGUUAAGUGGGAAACGAUGUGGGAAGGCCCAGACAGCCAGGAUGUUGGCUUAGAAGCAGCCAUCAUUUAAAGAAAGCGUAAUAGCUCACUGGUCGAGUCGGCCUGCGCGGAAGAUGUAACGGGGCUAAACCAUGCACCGAAGCUGCGGCAGCGACGCUGAUGCGUUGUUGGGUAGGGGAGCGUUCUGUAAGCCUGUGAAGGUGUGCUGUGAGGCAUGCUGGAGGUAUCAGAAGUGCGAAUGCUGACAUAAGUAACGAUAAAGCGGGUGAAAAGCCCGCUCGCCGGAAGACCAAGGGUUCCUGUCCAACGUUAAUCGGGGCAGGGUGAGUCGACCCCUAAGGCGAGGCCGAAAGGCGUAGUCGAUGGGAAACAGGUUAAUAUUCCUGUACUUGGUGUUACUGCGAAGGGGGGACGGAGAAGGCUAUGUUGGCCGGGCGACGGUUGUCCCGGUUUAAGCGUGUAGGCUGGUUUUCCAGGCAAAUCCGGAAAACUAAGGCUGAGGCGUGAUGACGAGGCACUACGGUGCUGAAGCAACAAAUGCCCUGCUUCCAGGAAAAGCCUCUAAGCAUCAGGUAACAUCAAAUCGUACCCCAAACCGACACAGGUGGUCAGGUAGAGAAUACCAAGGCGCUUGAGAGAACUCGGGUGAAGGAACUAGGCAAAAUGGUGCCGUAACUUCGGGAGAAGGCACGCUGAUAUGUAGGUGAAGCGACUUGCUCGUGGAGCUGAAAUCAGUCGAAGAUACCAGCUGGCUGCAACUGUUUAUUAAAAACACAGCACUGUGCAAACACGAAAGUGGACGUAUACGGUGUGACGCCUGCCCGGUGCCGGAAGGUUAAUUGAUGGGGUCAGCGCAAGCGAAGCUCUUGAUCGAAGCCCCGGUAAACGGCGGCCGUAACUAUAACGGUCCUAAGGUAGCGAAAUUCCUUGUCGGGUAAGUUCCGACCUGCACGAAUGGCGUAAUGAUGGCCAGGCUGUCUCCACCCGAGACUCAGUGAAAUUGAACUCGCUGUGAAGAUGCAGUGUACCCGCGGCAAGACGGAAAGACCCCGUGAACCUUUACUAUAGCUUGACACUGAACAUUGAGCCUUGAUGUGUAGGAUAGGUGGGAGGCUUUGAAGUGUGGACGCCAGUCUGCAUGGAGCCGACCUUGAAAUACCACCCUUUAAUGUUUGAUGUUCUAACGUUGACCCGUGAUCCGGGUUGCGGACAGUGUCUGGUGGGUAGUUUGACUGGGGCGGUCUCCUCCUAAAGAGUAACGGAGGAGCACGAAGGUUGGCUAAUCCUGGUCGGACAUCAGGAGGUUAGUGCAAUGGCAUAAGCCAGCUUGACUGCGAGCGUGACGGCGCGAGCAGGUGCGAAAGCAGGUCAUAGUGAUCCGGUGGUUCUGAAUGGAAGGGCCAUCGCUCAACGGAUAAAAGGUACUCCGGGGAUAACAGGCUGAUACCGCCCAAGAGUUCAUAUCGACGGCGGUGUUUGGCACCUCGAUGUCGGCUCAUCACAUCCUGGGGCUGAAGUAGGUCCCAAGGGUAUGGCUGUUCGCCAUUUAAAGUGGUACGCGAGCUGGGUUUAGAACGUCGUGAGACAGUUCGGUCCCUAUCUGCCGUGGGCGCUGGAGAACUGAGGGGGGCUGCUCCUAGUACGAGAGGACCGGAGUGGACGCAUCACUGGUGUUCGGGUUGUCAUGCCAAUGGCACUGCCCGGUAGCUAAAUGCGGAAGAGAUAAGUGCUGAAAGCAUCUAAGCACGAAACUUGCCCCGAGAUGAGUUCUCCCUGACUCCUUGAGAGUCCUGAAGGAACGUUGAAGACGACGACGUUGAUAGGCCGGGUGUGUAAGCGCAGCGAUGCGUUGAGCUAACCGGUACUAAUGAACCGUGAGGCUUAACCU